RNAcentral lists this ribosomal RNA (374 nucleotides) under uncultured eukaryote. RNAcentral's name for it is "partial 18S ribosomal RNA". It matches the Rfam family "Eukaryotic small subunit ribosomal RNA", at positions 592 to 976 of the family's 1831-position model. The record is from RNAcentral.
CAAGAGCGUAUGUAAAAGUUGUUGCAGUUAAAAAGCUCGUAGUUGAACCUUGGGUUUGGUUGGCCGGUCCGCUUUUUUGCGAGUACUGGAUUCAACCGAGCCUUUCCUUCUGGCUAACCAGUCGUUUCGGCGGCUGGCGAACCAGGAUUUUUACUUUGAGAAAAUUAGAGUGUUCAAAGCAGGCAUUAGCUUGAAUAUAUUAGCAUGGAAUAAUAGAAUAGGACGUUAUGGUUCUAUUUUGUUAGUUUCUAGGACCAUCGUAAUGAUUAAUAGGGACGGUCGGGGGCAUCAGUAUUCAGUUGUCAGAGGUGAAAUUCUUGGAUUUACUGAAGACUAACUACUGCGAAAGCAUUUGCCAAGGACGUUUUCAUUAA